RNAcentral lists this ribosomal RNA (1030 nucleotides) under Terfezia aff. olbiensis MA-Fungi 47406. Its description in RNAcentral is "SSU rRNA". It matches the Rfam family "Eukaryotic small subunit ribosomal RNA", at positions 72 to 1110 of the family's 1831-position model. The record is from RNAcentral. RNAcentral also lists the same sequence under 1 other name. Lineage: Eukaryota; Fungi; Ascomycota; Pezizomycetes; Pezizales; Pezizaceae.
AUAUAUACAGUGAAACUGCGAAUGGCUCAUUAAAUCAGUUAUCGUUUAUUUGAUGAUACUUUACUACUUGGAUAACCGUGGUAAUUCUAGAGCUAAUACAUGCAUAAAAGUCCCGACCCCUGGAAGGGAUGUAUUUAUUAGAUAAAAAACCAAUGCCUUCGGGCUCUUUGGUGAUUCAUAGUAACUUAACGAAUCGCAUGGCCUUGUGCUGGCGAUGGUUCAUUCAAAUUUCUGCCCUAUCAACUUUCGAUGGUAGGAUAUAGGCCUACCAUGGUUUCAACGGGUAACGGGGAAUUAGGGUUCGAUUCCGGAGAGGGAGCCUGAGAAACGGCUACCACAUCCAAGGAAGGCAGCAGGCGCGCAAAUUACCCAAUCCCGACACGGGGAGGUAGUGACAAUAAAUACUGAUACAGGUGGUUUUAUGCCUCUUGUAAUUGGAAUGAGUACAAUUUAAAUCUCUUAACGAGGAACAAUUGGAGGGCAAGUCUGGUGCCAGCAGCCGCGGUAAUUCCAGCUCCAAUAGCGUAUAUUAAAGUUGUUGCAGUUAAAAAGCUCGUAGUUGAACCUUGGACCUGGCCGACUGGUCUGCCUCACCGCAUGCACUGGUUUGGUCGGGUCUUUCCUUCUGGCAAACUGCAUGCCCUUCACUGGGUGUGUUGGGGAACCAGGACUUUUACUUUGAAAAAAUUAGAGUGUUCAAAGCAGGCAUUGGCUCGAAUACAUUAGCAUGGAAUAAUAGAAUAGGACGUGUGGUUCUAUUUUGUUGGUUUCUAGGACCACCGUAAUGAUUAAUAGGGAUAGUCGGGGGCAUCAGUAUUCAAUCGUCAGAGGUGAAAUUCUUGGAUCGAUUGAAGACUAACUACUGCGAAAGCAUUUGCCAAGGAUGUUUUCAUUAAUCAGGGAACGAAAGUUAGGGGAUCGAAGACGAUCAGAUACCGUCGUAGUCUUAACCAUAAACUAUGCCGACUAGGGAUUGGGCGAUGUUCUUUUUUGACUCGCUCAGCACCUUACGAGAAAUCAAAGUCUUUGG